Molecule: small RNA, 435 nt
Filed under: Drosophila erecta
Lineage: Eukaryota; Metazoa; Arthropoda; Insecta; Diptera; Drosophilidae
Description: GG26360
Source: RNAcentral
UUCUGAAACCGUAUUUGAUACAAUCAACACUGAGACCGAUAAACUAGAACAAAAAAGAAAAUUAAAGCAGAAGCAGCAUUUCGAUGCAGAUGAAAAGGAAUCGGAUUGUAUAUUACAUGGGUACAUAAAAAAACUUGGGGGCUCUUUUGCAUCUUUAUGGCAAACAAAAUAUGCCAAGUUAUAUCCAAAUAGGCUGGAGCUACAUUCGGAAAGUGGAAAUAAUAAACCAGAAUUAAUUUUUAUGGACCAAGUAGAAGAUAUAUCAUCAGAUUUUAUUCUGCACAAAAAUGAGAAUUGCAUUCAAAUUCGCAUUAAUGAUGGAUCCCGAGAUGGCCGAAUUAUUUUGACAAACUCAGAUGAAAUUGGAUUAAAAGAAUGGGCAUCUUCUCUAAGAUCCGCACAUAAAAUUUCUCAGGACCUCUUGGGAUCGAUGGC